This 776-nucleotide ribosomal RNA is filed under the name uncultured Neocallimastigales. Its description in RNAcentral is "partial large subunit ribosomal RNA". It matches the Rfam family "Eukaryotic large subunit ribosomal RNA", at positions 23 to 643 of the family's 3401-position model. Lineage: Eukaryota; Fungi; Neocallimastigomycota; Neocallimastigomycetes; Neocallimastigales. The record is from RNAcentral.
AGAGAUGUGUGAUGACGCAUAUCAAUAAGCGGAGGAAAAGAAACUAACAAGGAUUCCCCUAGUAACGGCGAGUGAAGCGGGAAGAGCUCAAAUUUGAAAUCUUCAAGGUUUUCCCUUGACGAAUUGUAGUUUAAAGAAGUGUUUUCUGUUAGAGAGUUUGGUAAAAGUUCUUUGGAAUAGGACAUCAUAGAGGGUGAGAAUCCCGUAGUUUGAUCAUCUUUCCUAGCUUUGUGAUACACUUUCAAAGAGUCGGAUUGUUUGGGAAUGCAGUCCAAAGUGGGUGGUAAAUUUCAUCUAAAGCUAAAUGUUGGCGAGAGACCGAUAGCGAACAAGUACCGUGAGGGAAAGAUGAAAAGAACUUUGAAAAGAGAGUUAAACAGUACGUGAAAUUGUCAAAAGGGAAGCGUUCGACACCAGUGUUGUUUUUCCGAAAAUCAAUUACGAAUGUUUUAUUUUUGAGAAGUUAUGACUUCAUCGGCUUGCUUCUCUCUUUAUGAAACUUUCUUAAUGCACUUUUCGGUUAACAAGUCAACAUCAAUUUCUUUUGUUGUAAAAGGGUAUGAAGAAGGUGGCUUUCUUUUCGGAGAAAGUGUUUAUAGCCUUGUACCUCUGCAAUCGGAGAGAUUGAGGUCUGCAGCGUAGAUCCUUCGGGGUUAGAUACAUUUGUGCUAAGUUAUAGCUUUUCAUAGACAACUUGUUGACUAUGUUUAGUCUUGUAGCUUACUCGCUUAUGCUAUUUUACCUACGCUUAGGAUGUUGAACUACUGAGACAUAGA